CCUGGCUCAGGAGUGAACGCUGGCGGCGUGCCUAAUACAUGCAAGUGAAACGGGUAUCUUCGGAUACCAGUCGCGGACGGGUGAGUAAUACAUAGGCAACCUGCCUUUAUGAGGGGGAUAACCGAGGGAAACUUUGGCUAAUACCGCAUGAAGACUCUAAGGCAUCUUAGAGGGAUAAAAGUUGGGAAACAACGCAUGAAGAUGGGCUUAUGGCGCAUUAGCUAGUUGGUGAGAUAGAAGCCCACCAAGGUAAUGAUGCGUAGCCGACCUGAGAGGGUGAACGGCCACAUUGGGACUGAGACACGGCCCAAACUCCUACGGGAGGCAGCAGUAGGGAAUUUUCGGCAAUGGGGGGAACCCUGACCGAGCAACGCCCGCGUGAAGGAAGAAGGUUUUCGGAUUGUAAACUUCUGUUAUAAGGGAAGAACGGAUUGGAUAGGGAAUGAUCUGAUAGUGACGGUACCUUAUUAGAAAGCCACGGCUAACUACGUGCCAGCCGCGGC
RNAcentral lists this ribosomal RNA (503 nucleotides) under uncultured bacterium. Its description in RNAcentral is "bacterial SSU rRNA". It matches the Rfam family "Bacterial small subunit ribosomal RNA", at positions 18 to 518 of the family's 1533-position model. The record is from RNAcentral.